This 765-nucleotide ribosomal RNA is filed under the name uncultured Actinomycetes bacterium. RNAcentral's name for it is "bacterial SSU rRNA". It matches the Rfam family "Bacterial small subunit ribosomal RNA", at positions 28 to 808 of the family's 1533-position model. The record is from RNAcentral. Lineage: Bacteria; Bacillati; Actinomycetota; Actinomycetes.
GACGAACGCUGGCGGCGUGCUUAACACAUGCAAGUCGAGCGGUAAGGCCCUUUCGGGGGUACACGAGCGGCGAACGGGUGAGUAACACGGGAGCAACCUACCCUCAACUUUGGGAUAAGCCUCGGAAACGGGGUCUAAUACCGGAUAUGACUUCCUGCUUCAUGGUGGGGGGUUGAAAGUUCUGGCGGUUGGGGAUGGGCUCGCGGCCUAUCAGCUUGUUGGUGGGGUAAUGGCCUACCAAGGCUUUGACGGGUAGCCGGCCUGAGAGGGCGACCGGCCACACUGGGACUGAGACACGGCCCAGACUCCUACGGGAGGCAGCAGUGGGGAAUAUUGCGCAAUGGACGAAAGUCUGACGCAGCAACGCCGCGUGAGGGAUGACGGCCUUCGGGUUGUAAACCUCUUUCAGCAGGGACGAAGCGAGAGUGACGGUACCUGCAGAAGAAGGACCGGCCAACUACGUGCCAGCAGCCGCGGUAAUACGUAGGGUCCGAGCGUUGUCCGGAAUUAUUGGGCGUAAAGGGCUCGUAGGCGGUUCGUCACGUCGGGAGUGAAAACUCGGAGCUUAACUCCGAGCCUGCUUCCGAUACGGGCAGACUAGAGGUAGGCAGGGGAGAGCGGAACUCCUGGUGUAGCGGUGGAAUGCGCAGAUAUCAGGAAGAACACCGGUGGCGAAGGCGGCUCUCUGGGCCUUACCUGACGCUGAGGAGCGAAAGCGUGGGUAGCGAACAGGAUUAGAUACCCUGGUAGUCCACGCCGUAAACG